Long non-coding RNA from Acinonyx jubatus (cheetah), 2358 nucleotides. RefSeq lists it as uncharacterized. NCBI's taxonomy places the organism in Eukaryota, Metazoa, Chordata, Mammalia, Carnivora, Felidae. The transcript has 4 exons. The record is from RefSeq and is a predicted model, not a curated record.
GAGGGGUGUGAGAAGCCCGUCAGGAAGCAGCCUGGGACCCUGACUUUGCAGACAGAGCGCCCCUCCUUAGGGAAGAGCCGACCCAGCUGGAGGCCGGGAUGGAGGCCGAGACUGAGGGGGGGCUUGAGGCCUGUGAGGACCCCAAUGCGGCUCGGCACACGGGCCCAGGACGCUGUCUAGGGACCCCACUUUGAGUAGCAAGGGCCUUAUCCCCAGACAGAAAUGGGAGUGACUGACAGACUCAAGUGCCUCUUUACUCCAUAACAGUGGUUGUUUAACAUCAUCAUCGUUUCUCAACUCAUUAUGAACUCAUAAUGGUUUGACAAUAAGCCUUACUGGCGUCUCUUCUUAAGUAAGCUCUACACCCAACGUGGGGCUUGAGCUCAACCCCAAGAUCAGGAGUCACACGCUCUACCGACUAAGCCGGCCACGGGCCCCAAGCCUUGCUGUUUUUUUUACGCAGAAUUAAAAUCUCUCUUUACCCUUGAGAAGUUGUUCUGUACCAAAAGGCAGAUGCUUGUUACAGGGCUGCCAGUGGGGCCUGUCUAAAAAUGGAAAUGUUCUCAGGCAUAGUCAGGAUGCACAGAAGACUUGAUCACCUAACCCUGUGUCACCUAACCUUGAAACACCCAAGAGGAAACCGCUGUACCCAGAAGUUAGAGGAAUGUGGAACAACUCCUGAGUUUAAAACAAACAAACAAACAAAAGAAUCCGUUUGGGGGGGCACCUGGGUGGCUCAGUCCGCUAAGCGUCCGACUUUUGCUUUCCGCUCAGGUCACGGCUUCAUGAUUUCGUGAGUUCGAGCCCCGCGUCGGGCUCUGUGCUGACAGUGCGGAGCCUGCCUGAGAUUCUUUCUCUCCCUCUCGCUCUGCCCCUUCCCUGCUCUUGCUCUCUCUUUCAAUAUAAAUAAAUAAACUUCAAAAAAAAAAAAUCUUUGGUUUGAAAAAAGGCCAACACCCUUCACUUCUAAGCUCCUUGACUCGUGAGAGCAGUUCUGCGAGUUGAGGCCGACUACGUUACGACAAAAACCUACCUGAGCGGCAUCCUCACCCAAAGUGGCCAAGCGGCUCCGCGCGGGAACUUUAGGGCCUGGCUCUCAGAAGGCCGCGUUUUCUUCCCACUGUGAUUGCAGAUCCCAGCGAAACCAACAAUGCGCAAGUUCCCGGUAGGGAAGGGAAUUGGAGGCGCAAGCCGAGCAGAGAGAAGCCAAUAGGAGAGGUCCAGAAAGCGGCCCAAAGGCAGACCCACGCACACCCAGCCAGGGUGGGCCACCACUGUCCCCACAGCCCUGCUCCGAAUGCGAUACGAGACCAGGAGUCUCUCUCUGGAAGGUGAUGGUUGACGUUUGCUGUCACGUGACCCAAACGCGGGCUAAGCGUGUGAGGGGCGGAGCUUCGGGCCAGGGCUGGAGGGAGGCUCCCCGGCCAAAGCCGAGAACGGCCGCACCGAGGUCGGGAGCCUCGCGCGCCCUUGGAGCUCUCUGCUUUUCCAUGCCCUCCUUUCUAAGCCUUGUCACCGAAGGGGAGCUGUUGCAAAAGACUGAGGCAUCCGAAACACUUUGUCUUCUGAGCUGUUGAAGAACGUUUGCAAACCCACCUCUUUUGAGCUGGAUGGAAGGUGCCUCCUUACGGUGUGGCCUUAAGCUUGAUAAAGAAUGACUUACUCUGGACUGCUGCAGUGACAGAGUAUCUAGGUGUGACAGGAAGUGCUCAAGACCAGAGACAAGAAUAUAAACAGUGGGCGUGAAGAGAUUCUGGGCAGCCAAGAACACAGGGUGGCAGCUUCUCUGAUUGCAAGUUCAACGGGGAAGCCAACGAAACCAAAGAGCAGGUGUGGGAUAAUGAAAGAACCUCGCACAUUCCGAGCCAUUCGAGUCACACAGCCUCAGAGAGGGAUCGACGACCUUGCAUUUUGCACCGAUACCCAGAGAAGGGGUUGUGACUUGCCUGGAGCCGCACAGCAAGAACACAUCGGUUACAACUCACCUUUGUACCUGGAGUCUUUCUGGAAAGGAGGAAAUGCCAGAUGAAUAUGGGAAAUCAAGUUGAGGCAAAGAAGCCACGGGGUUCAAUAUAAUACAGGCCAUUAAAGUAGCAAAAAAAAUGUCUAUGUACCUUCUGGCUCUUAAAUAUUCACUAUGGGAGGAUAGCACUCCAUCCAGCUAUUUGCCACACACCCCUUUUCUUUUUUAGAGACAUAAAUUCCAAAUUCCAUCUUUUAGACAACAAUCCGUUUGCUGUUUUGAUGACAGUGAUGGCGUAAGGUUGUGUCUCUGAAUGUCCUUCACCAACCUCAAAAAGAAAGAGCCAGGCUGUUGGCCAGAAGAGUCUCUGUUUCAUGUUACCUUUUGUGAUGGUG